RNAcentral lists this long non-coding RNA (571 nucleotides) under Manihot esculenta (cassava). RNAcentral describes it as "long non-coding RNA (MESC_LNC006617)". Lineage: Eukaryota; Viridiplantae; Streptophyta; Magnoliopsida; Malpighiales; Euphorbiaceae. The record is from RNAcentral.
AACCGAUACCCCUCUGUAACGGCUCCAAACUGCUCGGCGCUAGGAUCCAGAUCGGCUUAAGGCCGCCUAGACCCGUAGCAAGCCUGCUACUGAACUCUGGGUACCUGCUUAAUCCCAUAUAUGAGCUAACUAAACACUAGCUUUGAAAACCUUUUCUGUAAAACUACCAGGCUUAACCUUAAAAUCACAGCCGUCAAGGCCUACACCAGUGAUCUACUACUAAACUGAAAACAUAGAACCCACUCUCUUAGGGUCAACAUAUAACAGGCUAGCCUUACUUUCCUUUAUGGGUCAAGGGAUUUUAUACCCCUUUCUUCCCUCUCAGAUGGGUCAAGGGGUUUUAUACCCUUUCUUCCCUGAUCACUGGAGUUUUAGAAACACAUCAUAUGUUAAGCCUAGCUUGACACAUUUCUCAUCAAGAAACGGAAAACAGGACACAUGCAUACACUAGGGAUUCAGCACACACUGGGCAAAGCACAACUCUAGACAUUAUCUCAUUAUACUCUAUCUCUUUACCACAAGCUCUUUCCAUGCAUAACCUGUAUACACAUCAUGUCCAUACAUCAUGUCC